AUAAGAGAUGUUUUAUUGAAAUUAACAGAAAUUAGUGAAAAUUCUAAAACUAAAAGUGAAGCUAAUUGCUUAGCAACAUAUGAGUUUGAAAAUUUUAAAUUUUUUUUGGGUAUGACUAUUUGAUAUAAUAUAUUAUUUGCUGUUAACUUAGUAAAAAUUUAUAAUCAAAAAAUAUGCAUAUUGAUGUUGCUAUAGAACAACUAAAA
RNAcentral lists this long non-coding RNA (206 nucleotides) under Elaeis guineensis (African oil palm). RNAcentral describes it as "long non-coding RNA (EGUI_LNC011368)". The record is from RNAcentral. Lineage: Eukaryota; Viridiplantae; Streptophyta; Magnoliopsida; Arecales; Arecaceae.